CCAGGCAUAAAUAAAUAAUAACUUUACCAGAGUACUACGAAUCAUAAAUUUAAAACUCAAAGAGCUUGGCGGUGCUUUAGACUUUUCAGGGGAACCUGUCUCGUAAUCGACAAUCCACGAAUCGACCUCACCUUUUUUUGCUACACAGUAUGUAUACCGUCGUCGUCAGGUAACUUUUAAAAAUAUAGAAGUUAGCAAAAAAACACUUAGUUUUCACGUCAGAUCAAGGUGCAGCCCAUAAAAAGGAGAGGAUGGGUUACAAUUAAAACUCAUAAUUACGGAUAUUAGCUUUAACGGCUUUUUGAAGGCGGACUUGAAAGUAAAACCUAGUAGUUAAAUGUUUUGAAUCAAGCUCUGAAGCG
Molecule: ribosomal RNA, 362 nt
Filed under: Nodilittorina pyramidalis
Lineage: Eukaryota; Metazoa; Mollusca; Gastropoda; Littorinimorpha; Littorinidae
Description: partial 12S ribosomal RNA
Source: RNAcentral